Molecule: ribosomal RNA, 453 nt
Filed under: uncultured organism
Description: partial 16S ribosomal RNA
Rfam family: Bacterial small subunit ribosomal RNA
Source: RNAcentral
GUACACUCCUGCGGGAGGCAGCAGUGGGGAAUAUUGGACAAUGGGCGCAAGCCUGAUCCAGCCAUGCCGCGUGAGUGAUGAAGGCCCUAGGGUUGUAAAGCUCUUUCACCGGUGAAGAUAAUGACGGUAACCGGAGAAGAAGCCCCGGCUAACUUCGUGCCAGCAGCCGCGGUAAUACGAAGGGGGCUAGCGUUGUUCGGAUUUACUGGGCGUAAAGCGCACGUAGGCGGACUAUUAAGUCAGGGGUGAAAUCCCGGGGCUCAACCCCGGAACUGCCUUUGAUACUGGUAGUCUUGAGUUCGAGAGAGGUGAGUGGAAUUCCGAGUGUAGAGGUGAAAUUCGUAGAUAUUCGGAGGAACACCAGUGGCGAAGGCGGCUCACUGGCUCGAUACUGACGCUGAGGUGCGAAAGCGUGGGGAGCAAACAGGAUUAGAUACCCGAGUAGUCCCAUGA